RNAcentral lists this ribosomal RNA (496 nucleotides) under uncultured bacterium. Its description in RNAcentral is "partial 16S ribosomal RNA". It matches the Rfam family "Bacterial small subunit ribosomal RNA", at positions 29 to 507 of the family's 1533-position model. The record is from RNAcentral.
AUGAACGCUGGCGGCGUGCCUAAUACAUGCAAGUCGAGCGAACGGACGAGAAGCUUGCUUUUCUGAUGUUAGCGGCGGACGGGUGAGUAACACGUGGAUAACCUACCUAUAAGACUGGGAUAACUUCGGGAAACCGGAGCUAAUACCGGAUAAUAUUUUGAACCGCAUGGUUCAAAAGUGAAAGACGGUCUUGCUGUCACUUAUAGAUGGAUCCGCGCUGCAUUAGCUAGUUGGUAAGGUAACGGCUUACCAAGGCAACGAUGCAUAGCCGACCUGAGAGGGUGAUCGACCACACUGGAACUGAGACACGGUCCAGACUCCUACGGGAGGCAGCAGUAGGGAAUCUUCCGCAAUGGGCGAAAGCCUGACGGAGCAACGCCGCGUGAGUGAUGAAGGUCUUCGGAUCGUAAAACUCUGUUAUUAGGGAAGAACAUAUGUGUAAGUAACUGUGCACAUCUUGACGGUACCUAAUCAGAAAGCCACGGCUAACUACGUG